Molecule: ribosomal RNA, 253 nt
Filed under: uncultured bacterium
Lineage: Bacteria
Description: partial 16S ribosomal RNA
Rfam family: Bacterial small subunit ribosomal RNA
Source: RNAcentral
UACGUAGGGUGCAAGCGUUAAUCGGAAUGGCUGGGCGUAAAGGGUGCGCAGGCGGUUUGUUAAGACGGAUGUGAAAGCCCCGGGCUCAACCUGGGAAUAGCAUACGUGACUGGCAAACUAGAAUAUGGCAGAGGGAGGUGGAAUUCCAUGUGUAGCAGUGAAAUGCGUAGAGAUGUGGAGGAACACCGAUGGCGAAGGCAGCCCCCUGGGCUGAGAUUGACGCUCAGGCACGAAAGCGUGGGGAGCAAACAGG